GACGAACGCUGGCGGCGUGCCUAAUACAUGCAAGUUGAACGCAACAAAGACACCAGAGCUUGCUCUACCGUCUUUGUUGAGUAGCGAACGGGUGAGUAACGCGUGGGUAACCUGCCUUAUAGCGGGGGAUAACUAUUGGAAACGAUAGCUAAUACCGCAUAACAAUAGAGAUUGCAUAAUCUUUAUUUGAAAGUGCCAACUGGUACACUAUGAGAUGGACCCGCGUUGUAUUAGCUAGUUGGUAGCGUAAUGGACUACCAAGGCGAUGAUACAUAGCCGACCUGAGAGGGUGAUCGGCCACAUUGGGACUGAGACACGGCCCAAAACUCCUACGGGAGGCAGCAGUAGGGAAUCUUCGGCAAUGGACGAAAGUCUGACCGAGCAACGACCGCGUGAGUGAAGAAGGUUUUCGAUCGUAAAACUCUGUUGUUAGAGAAGAAUGUUGAUUAGAGUGGAAAAUUAAUCAAAGUGACGGUAUCUAA
This 482-nucleotide ribosomal RNA is filed under the name uncultured bacterium. Its description in RNAcentral is "bacterial SSU rRNA". It matches the Rfam family "Bacterial small subunit ribosomal RNA", at positions 28 to 482 of the family's 1533-position model. The record is from RNAcentral.